RNAcentral lists this unclassified non-coding RNA (244 nucleotides) under Hermatomyces sp. RNAcentral's name for it is "partial contains 5.8S ribosomal RNA, internal transcribed spacer 2, and large subunit ribosomal RNA". Lineage: Eukaryota; Fungi; Ascomycota; Dothideomycetes; Pleosporales; Hermatomycetaceae. The record is from RNAcentral.
CGCACAUUGCGCCCUUUGGUAUUCCUUAGGGCAUGCCUGUUCGAGCGUCAUAUAACCCCUCAAGCAUAGCUUGGUGUUGGGCGCUUGUCCCACCUCUGGUAGGGACUCGCCUUGAAUCAAUUGGCGGCCUUUGUGUCGGGCUAUCGAGCGCAGCAGAUUUGCGUCUUGGGCCCCUCGCGCUGGUGUCCAGGAAGUGACCAUACAUUUUGACCUCGGAUCAGGUAGGGAUACCCGCUGAACUUAA